Molecule: ribosomal RNA, 486 nt
Filed under: uncultured bacterium
Lineage: Bacteria
Description: partial 16S ribosomal RNA
Rfam family: Bacterial small subunit ribosomal RNA
Source: RNAcentral
AUUGAACGCUGGCGGCAUGCCUUACACAUGCAAGUCGAACGGCAGCACGGUUCCUUGCACCUGGUGGCGAGUGGCGAACGUGUGUGUAAUACAUCUGAACUUGUCCUGUAGUGGGGGUUAGCCCGGCGAACUCCGGCUUAUUACCGCAUACGAUCUACGUAUGAAAGCUGGUUACCUUCUUUCCUCGCUCUAUAGUGUUGUCCGAUGGCUGAUUAGCUAGUUGGUGGUGUAAAGGCCUACCAAGGCGACGAUCAGUAGCUGGUCUGAGAGUACGACCAGCGACACUGAGACUGAGACACGGCACAGACUCCGACGGGAGGCAGAAGUGGGGAAGUUUGGAAAAUGGGCGAAAGCCUGAUCAAGGAAUGCAGCGUGUGUGAAGAAGGCCUUCGGGUUGUAAAGCACUUUUGUCCGGAAAGAAAUCCUUGGCCAUAAUACGGGCGGGGGAUGACGGUACCGGAAGAAUAAGCACCGGCUAACUACGUG